RNAcentral lists this unclassified non-coding RNA (395 nucleotides) under soil metagenome. RNAcentral's name for it is "partial contains 5.8S ribosomal RNA, internal transcribed spacer 2, and large subunit ribosomal RNA". The stretch from base 1 to 120 matches the Rfam family "5.8S ribosomal RNA", at positions 35 to 154 of the family's 154-position model. The record is from RNAcentral.
GAUGAAGAACGUAGCGAAAUGCGAUAAGUAAUGUGAAUUGCAGAAUUCAGUGAAUCAUCGAAUCUUUGAACGCACCUUGCGCCUUUUGGUAUUCCGAAAGGCACACCUGUUUGAGCGUCAUGAAUACCUCAAUCGCCAUCUUUUCUUCGGAUUGAUGGGUGACUUGGAUGUUGAGCCCUGCUGGUAUGCUAUAUCAGCUGGCUUUAAACUUAUUAGCCGGCUCUGUACUGGAACGGUUUGACUCGACGUGAUAAUAUUAUCGUUGAGGAUGCAUGUCUCAUGCAGCCGGAAAGUAUCAAAGCAGCUUCUAGCUUGCCUUUAGUGCACUUUUACAUUUUAGACCUCAGAUCAGGUGGGACUACCCGCUGAACUUAAGCAUAUCAAUAAGCGGAGGA